UUCUGGCAUAUGCCAUAAGAAGAAACUAAUAAGAGUGUGAAGACAACAAUUGCUUAUCUGUUUUUUUAUUUGUAUUUUUCUUACUUUUUUCUUUAGUUUUCAUAACAAUGAUAAGAAUUCUGUCACACUCAUUGAACGAAAAGUGUUGAAUGAAGGAUGGGUAUUGUCAAAUAAUGAAUCAUUUUCAUGCCAUUCUACACAAGUUACCAAGUGGGAUGGAUAUUUAAAAACAAACAAGGAAAAAAAAACACUUAAAAUCUAAGACCACAUUGUUUCAUGUUCAAAAGGAAAUCAAAUCUACAGAGCAUUUGACUGAAUAAUAAGUGCAUGUAUGGGUUCUCAGUUCAAGAUGCGAUUGAGUUCUAGUCCCCUUUUCCUCCGAGAUUAAAAAAAAAUCCUAUAAAUUAAUAUUGAAAGUUAAAAUGAAAAACUGAUGUAGGAGGGGAUGAAGAGCAACAUUUCCUGGAAGGCAAGAGACAAGGUUGGUGCAGUUAUAUGUAUGAAGAGUAUUGUUUUGUUGUGAUGAUUAAAGGGCACACAUGUGAAUAGGUGGGUACAUGAUUUGUCUGUGUGGAAUGGAGACAAUGCUGGGAUUGCAAGGAGCCAACUGAUGCAAACUAGCAAUAGCUUGCAUAUGAUGAGAAAAAAAAAAUCUCUCAUGUUUAUUUGAUAGAAUGAUACAUAACAUCUCGUGACAAGUUCAUCGGACAAUAGCUAGCGAUUGAUUAGAAAUUCUUGCUUCGAGUUCUUCCCAAUCGAUGCAGAUUCAUAUGAUCCAUAUAUACAUAUUCAUCAGUUGAAGAUAGGGGAUUUAUAUCAGUGUUUAUGGAUACCUACCAUCAUUAGGUUUUCUGUAUCUUCCCAUGAAUAGUGACCAUCAUAUGCCACAGAGAAAGUGUGUUCUUUUCACAUCCUCACAAAAGUUAAUAUUGUUGUCAAAUUUAUGUACCAUUGAGCCUAUACGAAAGAGUUUAGAUCAGUUAAAAGAGGUUUCUCUUCACAAAAGUUUCUAUCUAAAUAUGUCACUUGAACCAGAGACCUCGCCCGUGAAGUAAAUCAUCGCACCUACGGUCCAACCAAUUGGGAGAGAAUCAAUAGAUUCCUUUUCGGGAGCGAUUCAUCCUUCCCGAACAUAAACCAUUGAGACAACUUUUUGCAUCAUGCCAAUAUAUACAUAUAUAUAUAUAUAUGCGUGUAAUAUUAAUAUUGAACAUCAGUCAAAGGUUAAUUCUACAUGAAAUCAGCUUUAUAUAUAUAUAUAACUUGAUGAUUAAGAGAAGUGUAGAAAUGACACGUGUGGAGAGAGAAGAUAAAGAGGAGACGGGCUAGCUGGUGAGAGAGGGAGAGGAGGGAGAAGGAAGGAGGCUAAAAAUGGCCCCCCGUGAGGAGUAUUUGGAGGCAUUCCAAUUAUAUCACAAACCCAAAAAUUGUUUCUCCUUCACUUCUUUCGAUGGCCAUUUUUCUCUCCUCUCCAUCACGAGCUCAUGAUUCCCACCCCAUUCCCUCAUUUUCUUUUACCCUUUUCUGUUUUCCCCAAAUAACCUCCUUUUUAU
Molecule: long non-coding RNA, 1553 nt
Filed under: Durio zibethinus
Lineage: Eukaryota; Viridiplantae; Streptophyta; Magnoliopsida; Malvales; Malvaceae
Description: long non-coding RNA (DZIB_LNC002272)
Source: RNAcentral